Molecule: transfer RNA, 72 nt
Organism: Camelus ferus (Wild Bactrian camel)
Lineage: Eukaryota; Metazoa; Chordata; Mammalia; Artiodactyla; Camelidae
Rfam family: tRNA
About the family: Transfer RNA (tRNA) molecules are approximately 80 nucleotides in length.
Source: Rfam
GAGGGUGUAGCUUAGUGGUAGAGUGCAUGCCUAGCAUGCACGAGGUCCUGGGUUCAAUCCCCAGCGCCUCCA